AACGUGAACAAAAUCUAAUUUACCCUUUUAGUUGGUGCUCCGUUCCCAAAUUGAGCUUUUAUGAUUUUAAAAGUAUCAAAUCAUUAAUACUUAUAAAUUUUUGGUUUUUGGUAUGAAGAUUUGUAGGUUAAAAUAAUAGUAAUUUCGUAGAGGUUGAGUGAAUAGUUGGUGUAAUAGUAUAAUUUAAGAGAUAAAAUUGAUUAAAGGAAUAAAUCUAACGGUUGAAAACUUAUAAGCACUAAAUGUUUUGCGCUUUUUACUAUAGCCGAACUCUCUCUCUCUCUCUCUCUCUCUCCAUUUCUCUCUCUGUAUAUAUAUAUAUUUGCUGACAGUAAAUGAAUAAUAUUUGUUAUCAAUUUUUUUUUCCAUCCCCAAAUGGUAAAUCCUCAGCAUUUAAAGAUUGGAAAAUAGAUGGGGAAUAUUAUUCUCUACUAUCAAUAACAUUCUUUUUUUUUUUUAGUUAAAUUUUUUUUUGGUAAUACAUUGCAUGGGUAUAUAUUUUUUUUCUUAAUUUAUUUUCACAUCUUCUACUAUGUAUUGGGGGCUGUCCCAGAAGUACAAAUGGCAUUUACACUUUCCUAUACGAAUCCUACAUCAUCAGAGCUUAAAAUUUUGAUUUUUACAUUGAAAUUAAAUGCACUAAGAUCGGAGUCUUGGUUAGACAAUUUAGGGAGUGUGGUAAGGAUAGUUCAGUAAACUGAAACUUCUAACUUACUGUACUGGGGCUUUAACAUGCAUUUAUUUGUCACAUUUAUCUUUUGUUCAUCAUAUUUAUCAUCUUACCAAGAAAAGAUACAUGCAUUCACACACUUAAAAAUUUCAUCAUUCUAAAUAGAAAACGUAUGGAUUAUUCAAAGAGAAUCAGACAAUGCAUUAUGUUAUCUGUACUAUAACAUUACUGAGGAUGUUUAAUAAUACAAAAUUGGCACCAUAUAGGGACUUGCUUAACUUGCCGCGACUUAAUUUAACUUGUAAUCACCAAUUUGAAGCCAACAAAACAAUGAGUCCCUCAUUCCUAGUCCUGCAAAAUCAUGUCAAUUACAAUCAGCUUAAAGUUGCAGCUAAAUUCUAUACAUGGAAAUCCAAAUAAUUAAGGCAUACCAAAAAUGCAGGAUGUUCAAGGAAACAAUGGCUGGUAAUCGAGCCCCAUGUUCUCCGGAAAACCCAUCAUCAGAUUGAGAUUUUGUAGUGCUUGGCCAGAGGCACCUUUCACUAAAUUAUCAAUCUGCAUAGGAUUGCAGCAUAUAUUUAUAUAUAGACAAAAAUAUCAGAAAUAAUACACCAGAAGAGGUGAGCAAAUUUUACUGUUUGAUGAUAUUUGACAUCUGAAAAUAUACAUACAACAGAGAUAAUAAUCGCUCUGCCGGGAAUCCGAUCUUCAAAUACGUUCAUGAAGCAGUAAUUCGAACCCCGAACAUGGCGCGUGUGAGGAACAACUCCUCUUUCCAGUAACCUGACAAAUACUUCAUCCUGAAGGGAAUAUUGGCAUUUAAUAACUGGACUAAAAACAAGAAAAGAACAUGAAGCAAGUAAAGAUUCAGCAGAAUUAUACAAUGCUUCUCUUCAUAACAUUUCAAAGGAACAUACCUUGUAAGCAGACAAUAGUUCCAGGUAUAAAUCAUCAGUGGUCACCCCAGGUGCCAUUUCGACAUAUAUGGUUGAUUGCAUUCCACGGCUCUAUUCAACAUCAAUGUAUAAGACAUGUUAAAUAUAUACGACAUAGCGCAAGAUAGAAUCUGUUAAACAAGCUUAACUAGGAGAUUAGUAAAAAGAAAAUUUACCAUAGGCAUUAGGUGCGGGGUGAAGCUCACGGUCACCUUAGAAUGUGAAGCGUCGGAAAGUCCUUGCUCAAUCUCAGGAACUGGCAUAGUAAAAGGAUUAACAUAACAUCACGAAGUUCAAUAAAAGCUAUAUAAACAUGAGCUAAUAAAAAUAUAAUGUGCCACAUGGAAGCAAAUAAAUAGGCCGAUCAACACAUAUUAAAGAGCUGAAUAUAAAUGUUGAAUAGUUACGAAACUAUCAAAAUAGCAAUGGAAGUUCAGAACCAUGGCGAUGCUUGGUAAUUCCAUAAGAGUGAAGGCCUUCUGAAACUUCGGUGUAAAGAUUUGCCUCCUUAGCUCCACGCCCUAAAAUAUUUAUAUUUUGAGUGUUACAAGAAUACAAGGUGUUCAACGGAUGCUGAAAUAUAUACAAUCUACUAAAUAUUUUCUAAAACAAGCCGUCAGAAUAUGGUGCAUUCAGACCUGCUCCGCUGACCCCAGAUUUGGCAUCAAUAAUGAUAUUUCUCAGUUCAAUGAGGCCUGCCUGAAAUAAGUUACAUAAGAGAGAAAAAUAUGAUAUAACAAGUGAAAUGUGAAAAAAAAUAGAUAAUUUCUUCAAUCUCCAAUAAAACAUUUACAUAAGAAAGAUAUAUCUAGUUAGUGUUAUGGUGCGAUUUAACUAAUUUCUGCUCUAAAAUUAAAAAUGAGAGCUUAAAAGAGAAUGGCAGAAUGUUAAUAUUCAAACAAAGUCCACUACUCUAUGCUGCGGCAGAGCACUCAAAAGUGUUUCAUUUUUAAAAAAAUUGAGCUGGAUAUGUGGCCUACUACAAAUUGGUUUAAAGCUAGAAUGUAAACUACUAUACAUUGAUCAACAGACGUACAUUGCUUGAGAGAAAAUAGAGUUCAAACCUUUAUAAGUGGAACAAGAGGAAGCUGAAUGGAUGUGGGAUAACAUCCAGGAUUUGCGACAAGCCGUGCAUUUCGUAUUUUGCCUCUCAAAACCUCUGUCAAACCAUAUACAGCUUCUUUCUAUCCAAGUAAAAACAAAAUCACGAGAAUGUUCAAAAUGAUCUCGGCUGAAAAUUAGAUACCAUCCUACUAUUUUUCAAUAGAAUCAUUCUACUUUGUUGUGCUAUGAGUGCCCAAAAAGAAAAGAAACAAUAAAAAAAACCAGCCUUAUGUAACAUAUUUCAUCGUAUAUGGACCAACCUACUUAUAGACUUAAUCCGCUACGUGCAAUCAAAGUAAAAAUCAGGCAUUAAAUAUGGACCAACCGACAAAUCCACGGUCGAAAAAUGCAAUAAUAUAGCUCAGUACCUGUAACUCUGGUGCUUUAUGUGGCAAGCCAUACCACUCUUCAUAUUCAUUUAUGUUACUCAGCCGAAAAUCCUGGGAAAAUGUUAAAUAAAUUAUAAGAUUCAUUUUUCCCCAAAAUUGAGAUGUCAAAGAUCUCCUUGUGUGCAUAAUCAGAUGUUCGAAUAAGUACUAUAAGUGCACCCAAUGCAUACUGCAGAGAGAUCAACAAUCUUCAGCUGCUUAGGAAGGCUUUUAAUGAUCUCCUGCAAGAACAAAUUUUUAGAGUUAGAUGUAAUUAAAAGGACGAAUUUUUAAAUCUUCGAAUAAGCAACAUUUCGAGAGUGAAUUAGAUGCAAAAGAUACCUGUGUUGUUCCAUGCGGCAAGCAACAGAAUACAGCAUCAACAUUGGAAAAAUCUGCAUCUUUAAUUGCAACCAUGGCAGGCAAGUCCUGUGAAAUAAAAAGGCAAUCAGAGAUAAGCAUGUCCUUCGAACCUAACAAACAUUUGCUCGUACAUAAUGAAAAGUUUCUUUAGCUACAAAAUACUAAAUUAUAUCUAUUAUGGAGUAUGAAAACUUACUUGUGUCAUUAGGUGGGGGAAUACCGAUCCAAUCGGUUGACCAGCUUUUCUAUCAGCAGUCAUUGUUGUGAUACCAAAGUGUGGAUGGUUUGCUAGGAGCCGAACAACCUGUUUAUGAAAAUAUACAAAUAGUGAACCAUGAGAGAGAGAGAGAGAGAGAGAGAGAGAGAGAGAGAGACCCAUAUCACAUAUAAUGUUGAAAAAGUUAGUCCACAAAACAGAUCCACGAGAUAUAUAGAUGAUUUGUCCAAAAUUUGAGGAAACUACAUUAGACUCCUAAUGUUAGAUAGUGUAACCUUGUAAGUAUGUCUCAGGGUCCAAACUACAUUAGACUCCUAAAUUCCAUAACUACGAAACUUCAGCUCAUUUAUAGAAACCACAUAUUAGGCACUGAAAUUGAAGGUUGGAAAAAAAAAAAAAAAACACAAAGGUACAAUUUUAACCACAACAAUGGAAGAGAAUCGGUAGUUCCUAAAUAAGUUGAUUACAGGAACUCCACAAAUGAUAACUAAACAAUGAAGCAAAGCCACAAUUUACAGUUCUGUAGAGAAAAAGGAUAAAAGAGAUCUCUGAUAAGUAAUUUUGUAUCAACUAAAUGUCACAGUUCCAUGAUUCCAUUCUCUUCGAACUAUAGUGGAAAAAUAAGUAAAAUUACCACUAAAAGAUGAUGCAGAAGAAGAAACCAUACCUCAGCUCCAGUAUAACCACUGGCACCCAAAACCCCAAUCCGAACCGAUUUCUCCGAAGCAUCGAUCUUCUCCUUCGUAGACCGCAAGCUUUGCGGCGACGAAGCCACUGAUGCUCUCACACGGAGAAGAGAACCAUCGCACUGCCUUGAAUUCGAGCUUAGGGUUCCAUGCUAUGAUCAAGAUCAAAUUUUUAGCUUAAAAAACCCAACUUUUUUUAAAAAAUUUCUCUGUCUAAUUGCUUCUCAAUGAAUUAUAGCUCGAAAAAAUGCUCACCUUGCGAAGCCACCCGGAGUUGAAUGAAACGGAUCCAAAUGUCGUCGAGCUCAUUUCCCUCAACUAGAGAAUUGUGGUGCAAAAAAAAAAAGGAAAAAAAAAAACAACAAACCCUGGAAAAUUGUGAUCUCAAUGAAAGAAAAAGGACAAAAAUAUGAUUUUGAGAUGGUAAAAGUGAACGGAGAGGAGAAUAUGUAACCGAGAUAGAUCGUAGAUUUGCUACCUCCCUUCUCAGAGCGAAGAGUGAAGGGGUUCGCUUUGUAGGGCUCUAGGGAGCGAGUAAUAAUUCCUUGAUGCACCAGGUGGACCGUGCACCUCAACCUCAAACCUCAUUAGAUACUGCUUGGUGUAUGAGAUAUGUGUUAGUACACCAGGCGCAGAUGAAAUUCUCUCUGGAUCAGUGAAAGCCUUGGGUCCAAUUUUGUGGGCCCAUGUUGGCCCAGUACUGUCAUAGACCGCACCUAAAUUACCCGGCCCAUAAACUAACCAAAUCUGUAGAAUUUAAUGCCUGCACCUGGUGUGUGCAUUAUAUUUCAUACACCGCGCUACAAAAAUUAUAGGGGAUCGCAAUAUCAAAAUUCAACUCAGCACUUACAUGUGGAUGAAUUUUGAAAACCUGUAUAUUUUAGAACUAAUAAUAUUUCCUUUAAUACUAUUGAUAUUUAAAAUUAUUUCAGCAUAAUUAUUAUUAUUAUUAUUAUUAUUAUUAUUAUUAUAUUUAUUUAUGAUAUUUAUCGAAUUUUUUUUGUUAUAAACUGUACUUGUGCACCUGGUGCAUGCUAGAAUUUCUCCGUCCCCUUCGAUUUGAAGUUUCGAUUUUCGAACCCCUUCCGCUCUCUUCCCCCCAGUUCUUCUUCGUCUUCUUCCUCGUCCUACUUCGGCCUCUCCCUCCCAUGGCGAAAUCGGAGGAGUGGGGGCUCGGCGACUUCGACAUCGGGAAAUGCAUCGGCGAGGGCAAGUUCGGGAAGGUCUACCUCGCCCGCGAGAAGCAGGUUCUCCUUCUCCCUCCUCCUCCUCCUCCUCCUCCUCCUCCUCCUCCUCUUCUUGAUUUCAUGGUGCUCACCCCACGACCCUAAUUUGAUCCAUAUCCGAGAGCAGAGCGGGUAUGUAGUGGCCAUCAAGGUGAUCUUCAAGGCGAAGCUCGACAAGUACCGGUUCCACGCCCACCUCCGCCGCGAGAUCGAGAUCCAGCACGGCCUCGACCACCCCAACGUGCUCCGCCUCUUCGCGUGGUUCCACGACGACACCCGCGUGUUCCUGGUACUAGAGUACGCCGCGAAGGGGGAGCUCUACAAGCUCCUCAGGAGCCUUCGCCAUUUCUCCGAGAAGAGAGCCGCCACGGUGGGUUUUUUAUUCAGAUUCCCAAUUCUAGGGUUCAGCUCGAUUCGAUCCUUCUAUUCUUAUGCCCUUUGCUGUUAGGGCUUUCAGGGCUAAUUAGGGUUUUGCUUAUGGACAGUAUGUUGCGAGCCUAGCCGGGGCACUUGCUUAUUGCCAUGAGAAGCAUGUGAUUCAUAGGGACAUCAAGCCGGAGAAUCUCUUGCUGGACCUUGAGGUUCCUGUUUCCUCUUAUUCGUCUUUUCUGAGAUUGUGCUUGGUUUUUUUUCUAAUUUCCUUUGUUGGAGUGAUUUGCCUGGUUUUGAUAUGAUAAUUCUUUAUGUUUAGUUGCUGAACUCAGUUAGUUGUUUUCUUUUUAUAGUUCUUGAAAUGCAGGGAAACAUGAUUCCUUCCGACUCAAGUUGGGUUCUUCAUAGACUAUAAAAUGCGUACCUACAACAGGAACUUACUUUUUACAUGAUAUAUUAGUAUGGAAUGCUAACUCAACAUAUGGAGAAAUGCACAACAGUAAUAUUAAUAUAAACGGUUGCUAAUCCAACUCAUAGCCAACCAUAUGACACUUUUUUACCAAACUGGGUCUUAAUUGACCAAAUUACUGUAUGCUUACUGGUUCAACCCUUGCACUUUAAUAGUAGAACUUCUAUACCAAUCAGGAUUUUUCCGUAGAUAAAGACCUUGUAUUUGUGGAUCUGAAUCAUCUGAUGAGCUAUAUCUUACAGAGGCAUUAAAUGCUCUGAAUAGCUCUUCUAGAUCAACUUAUGUGGCUUGAACUCAUCAGGAUGGUUCAAAUUAUGUAAGUUUCUAUUCUGAAUGCUUACUUUUAAUUAGGAACAUUGUAUAAUACUAAUAUAGAAAUAUCAGUUUAAGAACUAUCAUAAUCCCAUUAUAUAGCGAUCCCUGUAACUGACAGUUGAAUAAACUUUUAGUAUUUUGCAGGGUCACUUUGAUUGAUCCUAAUAGCUUAGUAUUUUGCAGGGUAGACUUAAAAUUGCAGAUUUUGGAUGGGCAGUUCAGUCUAAUUCUAAGAGGCACACCAUGUGUGGUACCAUCGAUUACCUUGCACCGGAAAUGGUGGAGAAAAAAGCACAUGACCAUGCUGUCGAUAACUGGACUCUAGGCAUCCUUUGCUAUGAGUUUCUCUAUGGUGUUCCCCCUUUCGAAGCUGCUGACCAAUUCGACACAUUAAAGAGGUAAAUAACCUCACUUGGUAAUAUCAUCUCUUUAUUUAUAUUUUGGUGUUUAAUGAACUUCAACUUUUACCAGGAUAUUGAAGGUGGAUCUUAAAUUCCCUUCCACUCAUUAUGUUUCUGCUGAAGCUAAAGACCUUAUUCGCAAAGUGAGUUUAAUCGCAUCUGUGUUUUUCUAAAAAUGUUGAAAUUAUGUGGUUUCCGUGUGUCUAAUUUUGGUUAUGCAGCUUCUAGUCAAGGAUUCAUCAAAGAGGCUAUCUCUUCAAGAGAUCUUGAAGCAUCCCUGGAUUGUCAAGAAUGCAGACCCUUCUGGCACUUGCAGUGAGUAAAAGGUCUGUUUUUGUUUCCUUGUUCCAUUUUUCUUUUCUUUUUUUUUGCGGUGGUUCUUAAGAGUGUGCAGAGGGUAUGUUUGUAAAAGCACAGCAUCUUAUAUGCAAGAAUGAUGAGAUGAGAACUCUGUUGAGUAGCUCCUUCAGAGAUUACUGUAAUAUCAUUAAUAUUUACUGGAUUUAGCCUGUAACUUUGUUUAUGGUGAUCUGUCUCAUUUCAUUUAUGAUGAAAAUUGUACAUAAUUAGUACUGCAUAUCAAGCAAGUUUAAAGUUGAAAAUAAGGUUUGAACAUGACAGACAUCACUUGUUUUUUUAGCUUGUUUGCUUCCCAUUAUCACCGUCGUCUAGAAUUCAGGAUUUGGCUACAAUUUAAAAAUUACCUCAUAGAGUAAAAAUUGGUUUAACAGAGGUCAAAUGGGGCAGAGUCAAUACAUGCUGUUUCCUUAAUCCUUAAAAAUUGAAAAUUGAUUUAAGGACCUAAUCAUUUCAUUCUUCACUCUGUGCACUAUAUGUAUUUAAUUUUCUGUAGCAGUUGUUUAAUUUUUAUCUUUUCUUGCUAGUCGGAAUAUCUGAGAUUGCUAUGCAACCAUCUAAUCCCACUUACUGUAUAAUUCCAUGGAAAAGAAAGAGCCCAUGUAGGUGAAAAUGGCAAUUUACUGCUAUGGUCGUGGUACCCUCCCCAUCCUUCGCAAAAAAGAACAGCAUCUGACUCCCUAUCGAACUCGACAUGUUUCUCUCAUUAACUCUACCUUUAACAUGGACUGUUUAUGAUAUACAGUUGGAGACAACCACCAAAGUGAAAAGGGUGGUAGGAGAGCAAAGAAUAAUUGCAUUAUAUAUAAUAUUUGAAAGAAUACAACAACAAAAAACUCAACGGAGUUUCCACUGAGAUGCUAAUCUCUCUGGCUAACUUGAUCCCUCGGGAUACCGUUACAGGUUGUCAGCCGAUAGCUAACAAGUGUUAUAUACAACUACACUUCCAUUCCUCGGGCAUUAAGAAGAUAUUUGUGGAGAACCGCACAUACUCUGUGAUCUGUUCUCCUCAACCUUUGAGCAAACUGAUGAGGAUUCCCACCCGAGCUCGGACAAACGCAAUUUUUCAUGUGAUAGUCUGCACUGCAAAAGUUAUAUUUCCUGAUGUCAGCAAAAAUUGUAUGCACUGAGAGCCACAACUGCCGACCUACAAGAUCUAAUCGAAAGAAAUAUUCUGAUAUGUUUGCUGCUGAAAAUUUUUUGAGUUAACAUAGCAUUUGUACUCUGUUGCACUGAUUUUUGACUUAUUUUUCAGUUGAAAAUAGUAUACCUUCAGUUUUAAAUCAUGCACUUCAUUCUCUAGUGAAGUAAUGCGAUCCUUUAGCAGAUUAAGUGCUUCUUCUGCAGCUGAGACGUUUAUAUUAUUAUUGAAAGCUGGCGGUGUUAGUCCAGCAACCUGCAAAAAUAUCAUUCGAACCAUGUAAUUGUUUAAAUCCUCCCGAAUUUGCUCGAGAAGCCAACUUUUUAACAUAAUAGAAAAAUGCCUGAUAUGACCUUUAAACAGCUGGUACAUAAACUCAGUAGUUUCUGUGCCAGUUUGAGUCUCUCCUCUUCGCUUUCCUGUUAAUGAACAUGUGGCAAUAACGUCAAGACUUUUACCAUCUAUAAGGCUUUAGCAUCAGUGUGGGUUCAUUUGUACUUAAGAAAGUAUACGCACUUCUAGUUUCUUCUGCAGUUGCUCUUCCUCGUCUAUGUCAAUAAAUGGGCUUUUGCCAUUGGCUGAUCUAUAGCAAGCAAGCUCUUCUUUCACGCGAACAAGAAUACUUUCUGACCUCCGCAGCUUUUCACUUAGUUCUUCAUUCUGUAGCUUCAAUAAGUUAUUCUCUUCCUGUUGAAGUGUAACAAAACUAACUUAGGCAACGAAAAAUAUGUAACUGCAUAUUAAUCACUUAGCAGAUUAGAAACUCAAAAUGCAAUACCUUAGUUUUAGCAUGAUGGUGAAUACGCAACUGGAGAUUUUGCUGGCUAGAGAGCUUUUUCAGUUCAUCUUCAAGUUCCAUGAUCAUCUUUUUGUAGUUUACAUUGUCAGCCUAGCAAAUUUUUUUAAGUGAAUUUAGAAUAAACAUAUUAAAUAAAGAGGAAGAGAACAAGAUGUCUUAAGAGGGUGCUGCCAAAACCUUCAACAUUUCAUUUUCAGUGGCAAGGAACUGUUCUCGCUGCCGAAGCUUUUCUGCUGAAAUACGAGCAGCCAUCAUUUCUGCGUGUUUCUGAUUUAUCUCUUCAAUCCAACUAUAAGAUUAAAAUUGCAGUUAUUUGAAGCAUUCCAUUUGCUAAAGGGGGUUAAAACUAACAGAAUAUUCUGAAGAUGUAACAGCAAAUGCAAUCUACCUUUGUCUCUCCUCAAUGAAUUCAUUGAGCUGCUUCUUCAGCCUGACCAUCUCUUCCACCUAUUUAAUGUGUAAAGUUAAUAUAUAAAGAGCAACAAAGAAGGAAAAUUAUAUAGUUUUAUUCUGAUCUCACGAAACGUACAUUCCCUUGGGAUUCUUCACAGUUGAAAAGAGCCGUAUCUUUUGUCUUUGGCUUUUGAUGGUUCUCUAAUAAUGACUAGCACAAAUGCAGGUUAAAGCAACAAAAAAUAUAUAUGAGCCACAUUUCAAGUUAUGAGUUAAAGAUGCUAACAGAUAGAUAAAUCAGAACUGUAAAAAAGCUUCUAAACUUACUGCAUAGCUUGUCAUAUCCAACUUGACCCCUAAGAGAUCACGAAUCACAUCAUGAGUCAUGCUUUCUGCGGCUGCUAGUCGAGUGUUCAACAUAAAGAUCUGGCAAUGAAAGCACAAUAUUGAUAACAAAUCCAUGACAAUCAAGUAUUUGAUGAUUGGUAUUUGAUGAUUGCCAUUGUUAAAGAGAUAGUUACACAUGUCGCUACAAGAUUAUGUAUUUACAUGUGUUCCUACAAAUUUUGAAUUUUCAUAUAUUCCUUUUAAAAUACUUUGCAACAAAAACCCAAGUGAAUUUGUCAUCUCCCCAAAUUAUGAUAACCGUAGUUUUCUAAGAAACUACACGUUCGAGGGGUAUAUAGAACAUCAGAUUUUACAGCAGCACAUACAUAAAAAGAUGAUUUGUGUGAUUUGUAUGUAAAAGCCUUUUGAGAAAUUUGUAAGUUAAACAUGUCAGAGGUACAAUACCUCUUUUUGCCGGCUCGCAGCUAAAGCUUCAAGUUCCUCUAUCUGACGCUUUGCUGCAGUAAGUUCCUCAUCUUUCUCCGAGUUCAUUUGUUGUACUAAUCCCAAGCCUAUACAUUUAAAUGGGGAACCUGAACCCCGAGGUUUCCCUACACUUUUCUCUGUUCUGGUCGAUACUAUAUUUAAGGAGCCUGAUGAUGUGGCUUCUGUCUUAACUUGCUGCGCCAUGGCCUCCAAUUCCUUGAACUGGUGCAGGAUUUCAAAUUUUAUUAUUAGCAGAGAGCGGAAAGUAGAAACUAAAAGUUAACUGCCUCUUUUAGUGUAAUCAACAUCAUUUUCAUAGAAGCAAUGGUACCUUCUGCUUGUAUUCUCUUGCUUGUGCCUCUGCAUGCAUGUUAAGCUCAGAGAUGUGUGCCUUGCAAUUGGUAAUCUGUACAAUAACAGCAAGGCAUGGUCACACAUAGUUAUCUACAUGAACACAUGGUUUACACAGAAAAGCUUACAUAAAGUGAUGCAUCACCCAAUCAGAAGCUACAAAUUCAGUUUUUUUUGGCAAGUAUAGACAACUCAUUUCAUGCACAAGGAUGUGAGUAACAAAAAUAGAAUACAAGAAUUUUACGGUCCUAUAAGGAACAAUGGACUAUAUAUUUAGGUAGCAAUAGUAAAUGGCUUUGAAGGUGAGAGCAGUCAUAACCAUCGACAACAAGAUUGCUAAAAUCAUUGUGAUAUUGAUUCAGCAAUUAGAAUAUUUACUGAACCACCAUUAUACUAUUUUUAUAUUCCAAUCACACCUCUGCAUCCUUUUCAGCAAGUUCCUUCUGAAGAAUUUGUAUGCUUUGCUGGGUCUCUAGCAGUUCACUAUUCUUCUCUUCAUAAUUCCUGUGAUGAAACACUCCAUGAGCAAUUGUACUUUGUUGCCUAACCUAUGUCUAUAUAUUCUGUCGUGGUAUAAACCUGGUCAAGUCAUUCUUAUCAGCUCCUACAUGACUCCAGUUUCUCGACGGUACUGUGAGCAUUUGCUGUUUCACUUCCUGAAGCUCCACUUCCAGUUCUUCUCUCUGCAGCCUCUGUCUUUCAGCUUCUGCUUUCACGAUAUCCACCUUAAAGAAAAAGCAACCCAAAUCACAGCUGGAACUUGAAGGUCAAAAGAAUCAGAGCCCAUAAUUUACAAAACAGAUCGAGAAAUGUUCACCUUGUUUUCCAGUGCAUACACAGUGCACUCAAGCUCCUGGAUAGACCCCUCCAAUAGCUUAAUCUCUUCUUCCUUUUCUUCAGCAUAGGCCUUCUUCACCUCUGCAAUCUAUAAACCAGCAUAAAGGGAAUAACACGCGAACAAUGGUAGAGCAAAUUUUUGGAAGUCUAUUAAUUAGGCUUUUAGGCACCUGAUGAGCUUCAGUGGCAAUAGCUUCAUUCUCUUCAGCAAGAGCAUGUGCCAUUUCCAAAUUCUCUUUCAACAUAAGCACCUCAGAAUUAAGAUGAUCUCGCUCCUCUGAAAGUUUUAUAAGCUUGUCCUGCAAAUCUUCAAGAAAGCAAUUUCUCUGACCAUGCAAAGUGCUCAUUUCAAAUAACUCUUCUUCUAGCCUUUCAGCAACCUUAAUUUUAUUUGCGAGCUCUUCCUCUAUAGCAAUUUUCAACCCUUUAAUGUGUUCUAAUUGAGAUUUUAUCUCAGAUUUUUCUUUGCACACUAAGUCCAAAAUACAAAUCUUUUCAGCAAGUUCUGACUCGAGAGAAGUUAUCCUUUCACUCUUCUCUAGUAACUCAGCUUCUAGGAGCAAUUUAUCAGAAAUGGCCUUCUCAAGUAGAGAUGAUUUAGCUUGGAGUUCAAUUUCCAAAGAUUCUAAAGCAGCAGCCAUCUCUUCUACUUCUUCCUCUUGGUCUUUUGCAACUGAUGCUGACUCCUGCAGUAAACUCAGAUCAAAUUGUAGGCCCGUUAAUACUUCAUCUUUCCUCAUUAAAUCACACCGGAGGGUAUAAUUCUCAGAGUUCAACUCCUUCACAGACAGUUCGAUGAACUUUAACUCAUUAGCAAAGUUAGAUACCAAAUCUUUUUGUUCAAAAAGAUCUUUAUGAACUCUGUCCGACAUCUGAUCAAUAUGGUUAUUAAUGCUGUGAAAAAUUUUGUCCACUAUCAUAUCCACAGAUUGAGUUAAACCAAAGCUGUUACUAACAAUUGAGUUGAGAACCACAAAAGCUUCAUCAAAUCUACCCAUGAUCGUCAAUAUCUCUUGUUUCAAUGAAUCAUUCUCAGAUUUCAAAGCAUUUGUUCUCUUGAAAUGAGUGUCAAUCACUUUGUUUUUUGAAUCAAGCUCCUUAGAUAUUACUGCAUGAGAAAGUAUUACUUCUUCUAGUUGUGCACUUUUCUUACUCAAAUCCUCUGUUAUUUUGGCAUGGCUUUCUUUCAGCUUAUGCAGAUUGCUCGUCAAUUUUUCAUUUUCUAUAUGCAAGGAAUGCAUUUCACUAGUUUUCACAUCCAUGUCUAUCUUGCAUAGAUUUGCUUCUCUCUUCUUUUUUUGAAAUUCUUCACAGAAUUCAUCCCUUUGUUUUUGUAACUCAGCUAUUUGUGGAGCCAUGUGAUGAAUAUGAGCAACUUUUUCCUCCACCUCAGAUGCCAUUACGAGCAACUCAAUGUCCUUUACUAACAAAUUGGUUAUUAUCAACUCGGUAUGAUAAUUUGCUAAAUUCUUGUAUAUAUCAAAAUCAAUAGAAGAUCCAAUACAAGUAGCGUCCAAAAGGUCCUUACUUUUAGAAUCAGAAUAAGAAUCAUAGAUGAGAAGAUCAAAAUCUCGCCCUAAUGAGUCCCUGAACAUUUCAUUAAUAAUCAAAGCUUUUUCCAGCCGUUGACAAAGGUCUUCCUUUUCCCUUAAUACUGAUGUUAAGACAUUCCUCUUAUUAUCAUCAAGCUCUUUCACCAAAACUGAAAGUUCAUUGUACAUGGAGUUUGACCUAGCGAACAUCGAUUCUUCUUGCAACUGUAGAUUAAGAAUUUUCUUCUCAAAUGAAUUCAACCUAGAUUUAAAUUCUGCCGUCUCAUCUUCCUUCUUUGAUAUACGAGAGAAACUGUUAUUAAUGUCAACCAGGAGCUUCCCUUUGAGAAUACUACACAUUUCGAGUUCCUUUUUAGAUCUAAUGUUGUGUUCUCUCAAGUUGAAAAUUACAGAAUUAGAUUCCGACAACCCUUGCUGGAGGAAAUUUUUCUCAGCAUUAAGCCCAGUAAUUCUUUCCAACAAAAUUCCCAUAUGGCAGAGAUGUAAAAUUGAUAUUGCACAGUCUUUUCCAAUGAUUUCUGACCAAAUUUCCUCUAACCAUGACCUUGCAGAGCCUGUGUAGUGUUCAAGCUGGGACUUUACAUAUUCAACGUCACAAGCUACAAGUUUGAAUUUAUCUACAAGAGAAGUUUUUAUAUGCAUAAAGCAAUCCUCUAGAUCCAUAACUAAAUUCUUUAUUUCGACGAAGUUUGAUUGAAGUUCCUUCUCCAUAAACUCAUAUUCUUGUUCCUUCCUACUGAGGGAAGACCGCAAGCUCUGUACCUCAUCUGUUAAGCUAUUCUUUUCCUGGUGCAAUGUUGUUUCAUUUUGCUGAUACCUUUCUAUGUCGAGUUUUGCAGUUUCAUUUGCUUUUACUAAUGCAUUGAUCAUAAUGUCAGCAUCUCUUAUAGUUUCUUGGGUCUCCUCGAUUUUAGAAAGAAGGCUUGAAGCCUCAAAUGUUUUUUGGGCUGCAAUGGCCUUUGCAUCACUAAUCUCAAGCUCAAGUGCCUGAUGGGAAAGAAGAGCUCUCAAAAGUUAGAUAUGGACUCCUAACUUAAUUUUGUUGAAGUUAGAUUGAAAAAGGCAAUGAAAUUAAGAAGUGAUGAAAUGGUUGGUGAACUAGCAUGAAGAAUUCUGAACUUGCAAUUAUCAAAUCUGUGUACAGAUAAUGGGUUUACAUGAGAUUUACAAAUAUUUGAUGUGUCAAUAAGAACUUCAAAGGAAAAGGUCUGAAACUACACACAAUCAAAUGCACUCAUUACCCAAGACACAAUCCUAUCAUUUAGAUGCAUACAGAUAUUAUACUAAGAUCCUGCUUCACAUUAAAUAUGAUUGACUUGACCUAGAACUGUUAUAAAGUUGAGGCAUGGCAUAACUUUAUGUGGAUAAAUAUAUAUAUAUAUAUAUAUAUAUAUAUAUAUAUAUAUAUAUAUAUAUAUAUAUAUAUAUAUAUAUAUAGAGUCCAGCUAUGGUGCUUGUAAAAGCACCAAGCACGUGGUGUUUGUAAGUUUUUUACAGUUAGAUUUACUUCACGGAUCAUUUUCAGCCAUUAGAUUAUACUAUUUAACCAACCACCCACUCAACCCUAGGGGGCCCACAUCAUCCUAACCGCAUAUCUUUUAAUCCAAUGGCUAAAAAUCUACAAGUACCAAUGUCUUGGUACUUUUAAAAGCAUAGGAGCUCAAUUCUAUAUAUAUAUAUAUAUAUAUAUAUAUAUAUAUUACAAUAUAUAUAUUACAAUACAGCAAAAAUUGCUCUCUUAUCCUCUGUUGAACUUUCAGAAGAGAAUAAAAUAUUUGGUAGAUUGUCUGUACAGUAACUAUGAUAUCGUACUACUAGUGACUUGCCAAAACGUCAAACAGAUUAAUUCUAUGGGUACCCUGGAUAUACCAAUUGCAGUUGGCAAAUGAGCUUUCCCAACUUGGCAGAGAGCUGGUGGAGUGGUAGUUCAAAUUUUAAGAAUUAAAGCUCAGGUCAGCUGCCAUGAUUGAAAAUUUGUUAUUUGUCUCGUUAACUGCACUUGGGUUGUAUUCUUAGUAACCGUAGGCUGUAGAAGUACUAUAUAAAUGAUAAAGAGAGAAAAAUUUAAAUAUUAAAAAUGAGCAGUAUUCCAUAAAAUAACUAUUUAAAAAUGAGAAGCUGUAUUCCAUAAAAUAACUAACUAAAAGCAACUGAAACAGUAAUCAUAUAACAGGGCAAGGUUAUGGGACUUAUAUAGCAUUGGUAUGAGACGCUCUUUAAGCCAUAUAUAGUAGUGUAAGUCCAGAAAGCAUCUCUAAAAAAUCUUACCUCCUUGGUUCUGUGCCAGCAUUCUUUAAAUGCUACAACAUUUUUCUCCACAAUUUCGAGCUUACUUUCCAACUGCAUCAUACGAGUUCCAAAAAACUUUUCUUUGUCAGUAAUUUCCGACAUCAGUCGAAUGACUUCUGCAGAGAAACAAUCAAUCCUUGCCCUGUUCUGUAUCUCUGUUCUCUUUUGUUCUUCUUUGUCAUUUAGUAGUCUAACCUUUUCAGCUUGUACUGCCUCUAGGUUGUCAAGUGCAGAUUCUAAUUCAUUCCUUAGAAGGAGAAUGAUAGAACCUCUAUCAUAAGAAACUUUCAUACCAUUUUCGGCCAAACAGUUUGUGCUACCACCUGGCACACACUCAAGAUUACUCUUCAAUGUUGCAUCGUCUUGAAAUUCAUGAUCAAACUGCCAAAUGAAAUAGAUUACUGUUAACAAGAUAACAAGUUUUGAGUCCGGCCCUAAUUUUAAUUUAGCAAAUUAAAAAAAGAGCACCUGAGCAGUAGAUUAUACAAAAGAGUGAAAAGAGGAUUUGGACAUGCUAAUAAUAAAGUUCACCUUACUUGACAGAUAACAAAAGCAUCAUCUUACCUUGUCCUCAGCGACGCUGUCUUGUUCAUUCAUAACAUUCAUGCUUGACUGUGGCACUCUCAUUUUUAGCUCAUUUACCACCCUCUUUGAUUUCAAAAGAUCCUCCGCUAUUUUUGAUAACGCUGUAUCUUCUUCUUUCUUCUUCAGUUGUUCCAAAGCUAGUGUUUCUUCCUGCUCCUGAGAUUGUUUUAAGAGUUCACUAAUUAAUUCCCGAUUUUUCUCCAGUUGUGUUUUCAUACAGUGAUGUUGAUUUUCUGAAUCAUUGUGCAACUGAAUAUAGUAUAAUAGAAGAACCUCCUUCUCCAUAUUCAGUUGAAUGGAUUCAUCAAACAGGAGACUUAUGCCCUCCUUCAGUUUAAUACUGUCUUCUAAUUUACUUAAAGUACAUUCCCUUUCAGAUAACUGUGAUCUCAACAAACGAAUUUCCUUUUCUUUAUCACUAUUUUCCUGCUGUUGUGCUUCAGUGAUAGCCAAUGUUGCUCCUCUUAAGGACCUCAAUUUCCAUUCCAAGUCACAUCUUAUGCUCUGUGCAUCCUCCAAGCCCUUUUGAAGCUCUUCAAUCAAUUCAUCCUUUUCGGAGAUACUUUUGAUCAUCCGCCCAACCUGCUCCCCAAUCCAACUCCUUUGAGGACAUGAUUCCAAAAUAGAAGCAAUCUGAUCAGAAGCUUCUUCAAGAGCCACAUUUCCAUCUCCAAGAACGUCUGCAAUUUCAUGUGCUAAUCUCUCGCAUUCUUCGGACAGCAUUCUAAUAUCAUUCUCCCUCUCCUCAACUAGCUUUGUAAGCUUUUCAUUAUCUUCUUCUGCCAAAUUUAGCUUUUCGAGAAGCACUUCUCUCUCAUUUUCCAACUCUGUCAGACUUUGCUUAGCUAACAUCUCAUUUGUAUUGCUGGCAUCAACUUGCUGUUGAAGAGUUAAGAGCUCCUCCUGUAAGCAAACAAUCACCUCAGCUGUUUCAAUCUCAACUUGUGUACGAACUUCUUCCAUUUCUCGUUCAAUCGAUGUCUGUGAUGCUUGAUCACUUUGGUGCCUCGAAUUCAAAGUACGCGCCUUGUCCAGUGAGGCUUGCAUUCUUUUCAGCUUGACUUGCAAAGGCGAAUCCUCAUUUUCCAAUUUAAGUGAGUGGCCUUUUGGCUCCCCAUGUUUCUUCAAAAGCUCUCCAUUUUGGAAGGUAUUCUCCCUUAGCCUUUCUAGCUCAUUGAUCAAUAGAAUGUGUUGUGAUUCAAGAGCUUCAAUGACAGAUCUUGCAUUAUGCAGUUCACACUCUACGACCUCCUGCUGCCUGCUGAAUUGUAGUGCUCUUUCAUUUGCUACUUUGAGCUUAUUGUCUACAUUACUAGCUCUUUCUUCUGCUUCUAUACGAGUUGUUUUCUCUUCUGCAAGAAUUGCUUUGAGUAUAUCCAACUCCAACUGCAAAUUCAGAAUUUCCUCAUUUUGCUUCAUUGUGUCUUCAUGUGAGCAUAAUGCCAUCUUUUCACAUACUCGAGGCUCUUUUGGGGAUGAAUAUGAACACAACUCCUGAGAUUGUAGUAUACAACAUACAGGAAAAUCAUUAAAGCUUCUAGUUCUAUAUGUUAUCGGAAGAGUAUAACAAGUGGAGAACGUAAUACCAUAAAAGGAGGAUUGUAAUUCACAUCCUGGCUCGCAGUCUUAGCGUUGCUUAAUUCUGUACGCAGAUCAGUUAUCUCCCUGCAAGGGAAUGGGUCAUUUGCUCAAGUGAUGAGAAAAAUUGGUUAAAGAUGAAUCCAAAUACGAAUAAAUAGUCGAAGUUUAUUUGAAACUAAGACAGCAUGGUUACCUUGUGAGCCGUUCAUUUAUUUCUAAACAUGACUGUAGAUUAUUUCUGCAAUUCUCUAACUCUUGGGAAGUCCUUGUCAACUGAAAAUGUAUAGAAAUUGUCUUAGAACAGACGUCUAUGAUAAUGCAUGUUGUGCUGGAAAGGGAAAUGGAUAGGAAGUACUUAUAAGAUCGUCCUAUGUAAACAGACAAGUAAUACCUCUCUAGACAAAGAUUCAUUUUCACUGAAGGCACAACCAAAUUGAGGGUGUCUACAAUCCUGAACACAUAAAAAGCCUCUCAGUCAAAAUAGAAAUUUCCAGAGUAAACUGCAAAAAAACAAAGAAUUGUUACAUAAAUUCUACCUGGAUGACCGAAUUUGAGAUAGGUUGUUGAUCAAGUUCAGACCGCCCAUCAAGGAUCUGUAUGAGCUGUAAAAACAUGACAUGAAUAGCUUGUUAUUCUCAAAAUGCUUACCAGAAAAUAUCCUAGUAGAUUAUAUAUAUAUAAAGACCAAGGUUCAUUUGUUUUUCUCUUAUAGACCUGAUUGCGCAAAUGAGAUACUUCAUUUGAUAGAAUUUCCCUCUCUCCUUCUUCAUAAAACUCCUGGAACCUAUGAGCAUACAAUUAAUUAUAUUGUUAGAUGAUGCGAUACAGGUUUAAAUUUCCUGACAAAGCCAGAUACUACCUUCUGAGUUGGUCUAAAAGCCUGAUAUUUUCUAGUGCAAAACGAGUCACUUCUGGGUUCCUAUCAACUCUUGCUCGAAGCAGCUGUAUCUCUUCAGACAGAGCUUUGUUCUCUUCAAGCAAAUAUGUGUCUGUUGCUGUUUCACCAUUUAGAAGGGUCUCCAUUCGAUGAAUCUUAUCUUCUCGAAACUUAAGCAUCAUUUUAGUGCAUCGUGUAUCCUCCUCUCUUUGACGAACCUAUUAGAAAUGUAUUGCCAAAAUUAGUUCCUGAUAAAAAUGGUGCAGUAAAAUUUCACCGAACUUCUUUCUUAUAAUAAAAAAAUUACCAGACGGUUCAGCUGCUCAAUUUCAGCUUCUAAUUGCUUAAUAGUAGUGUCUGCCAUCUUUUCCCUUCGCAAUGCGCCAGCUAACGUUGCUUCCAGUGAUUUCAACUGCAGUAUACAUUAGAAAGAAUUAUUGUAUAACUUUCAAUUAAGUGCCAAAUAACAAAAAAUAUAUUCAAUUAUAUACAUGAAUAGUUUACCUGUUUGUUUGAAACUCUUACACUCUGCAGAGACUCAUUGCUCCAUAAAUCCUCAGCAUUCUCUUGAGCCAGUUCUGGUAAUCCUUCUAUAGCAAAAGCAUUACAAAAUUCACCUUCGGAAUCCUCGAAGAUUGCUGUACGAAAUGAUAGAGAUCUUGAGACAUUUUGACGCUUCAAUACUGCAAGUUCCUCCUGAUAAAUGACCUCUCAUUCAAUUUUGCUAUACAGAUGGUUAAAGUCUAUAUAUGAAAAUAUAUGUAUGAUCUAAAAUUUGCACACAACCUUCAGGAGGCGUAUCUGAUGCUGUAGAGCUAGUAUAUCUCCUGAUGCGUCUUCAUUCACAACAGCCUUGAAUUUGAAAAGGGAAACAAUAAAUUGAACCAGUCAGAUAAAGUGAGAUUUUUUUUCAUGUAAAACAACAAACUUAAUAUGCAAUAAUUUAGAAGUGGAAAAGUUACAUUGUUCUGAAUGAGUCUUGCACGCUGAGCAAACUUGAGGGUACUGAGUGUUUCACUAGCAGAGCUAUGAACAACAGGAAAGAGUAAUUACAUGAAACAUCAAGAACACUGUAACAUGGCAAAUGAUGCAGCGAAGAAGGUAGCAGCUGCCUACCAAAUUGAUGGACUGACAUUUGCAAUAAUCAUCGUCUUUGAAUUGCCACCAAGUGAGUCCUGUAAGAAAUACAAUCUUUAAUUGGCAACCAGCAAACGGUGGAUUUUUAAUUCAAUAAAUUGAAUAACUUAAAGCUGUUACAUACUUGAAGAAGAAAUGUCAGUCUUGAGUCCCUAUAAGGAACAUGUCUUUGCUUCCCAUUAGCCAGAUCAGCUAGAAUCAUUAUUACGUGACUGAAAUUAUAUAAAUCAAACAUCAGAUGGGAAUUUUGAAUGAAGGGAAAUGUCUUGAAAUGGACAAGUUUAGUACUUUCAAGAAAGAAAUAUAUUAUUUUUAUACCCGAGUGUUGAUAAGGAUUUAUUAAUACUUGCAGCUUCCUUUAGACGCUCUCCUUCGGCACCUGAUGUCUUUUGCCUAUAUAAAAUGAAUACCCCAAAAGUUCAGCCUUAAUCAAAUAUCCUAUGGAUUACACCAUUUUUAAGUUUUACCUUUCUGAUCCAGCUAAAUCUACAAGGUUUAGUCUUGCAAAUCUUAAAUUAGCAGUUGAAUCCUUCUCCCAUCUACUCUCAAUGACACAAGUAAAGACACUGUGCGAGCGGCUACUUUCGCGAUUCAUAUUUGUUGCUGCAACUUUUCUAUUCGCAGAUCCCUGAGAAAUUUAGAUGGUGAGAGCAACAGGGCUUAAGUUGCCGAAACAAAUUAGGUAAACACAAGAAUUAGAUACACAUGUACCUGGAUAAGAAGUUUCAGAAUGUCAUUCACGCUUUCAACUUGAUAUUCAGUCAGAUUUUCAACAUACACACCUUUCCUUAUGUCUUCUCGCAACUGCUCAGAACAUGUGACAUUCAUAAGUAACAGCAUUUUCAUAGGCAUAACAACAAACUUUUCUCAGAAGGCAGUUUAAAAACUUACAAGCAGAUUAGCGGAUGAAGGAUCGAGAAGAUCGGUGAUUUGUUCAUUGUAAAUCUCCAAAAAGGAACACUUACAACUAUAUUUGAGCUUCUCAUCCCUUCUGCUUUCCUCCUCCUGAAGUUCAAACGGCAAAAGCAUUACAACCAGCAAAAGAUUGAAUAUUCUGACAUUUCAACUGAAGCAGCAAAGCAUGUGUUGCGAGUAACAUUGUCAACAGAAGGUAUAAUAAAAUCAAGUGUAUAUUUAAUAAUACAUUAGAUUUUGAAAUAUUAGGAAAAAUUGAUCUUCUAUGGGAAAAAUUACAUCUAAUCUAUAUUGAAGUAUUAAUAAUUGUAUAACCUCUAACAUGUAGAGAGAUGAAUUGUUACAAAAGACCUCAAAGGAAGUGUUCUUUUACCGCUCUGAUUCUUGCAAACAAGAAUUCAAAUAUACGUGGGGUCAUUCCACGAUCUAGGCUAGGCCUCACUUCCAAUUCACCAAUUUCACCAAGCAUCGUGUAUGUUUUCCCACUGCCUGUCUAAAGACACAAAAAUAAAAGUUUGAAUACAAUAGUAUUCAUAAUUAAAAAGGACUUGAGCUUUUCUGGUCUAUGAAAUUAUCUUGUUAUCUCUUACUGCCAAACUCUAUAAAAUGGAAUCGUCAAAUAUGCUGAAGGAAUAGAAGAAACGUUUAGAAGUACCUGGCCAUAAGCAAACAUGCAACUGUUGUAGCCUGACAUACAAUUCUCAACCAUCGGCAAACCAGCCACUCGAAAAAGCAUUUCCUGCAUGUAUAGGUUGUUAGGCCUAAUCAGCUGACUAAGAAAAAACACGAGGCUGUUCUUUGUCAUGAGGACUCAGACCUGGUUCACUGAUUCGCAUGCAACAUAGUCAAAUGUAAAACGGGUUUCGGGUUGUCCGAUCCAUGUAAUACACUGCGCAUUUUCCUGCUUUAAACAUCUGUUGUAACCUUGCAAGCUUCGCUCCGUGCUAUUCAAAGGACGGACACGAAUGACAACCUGUGAAUACCAAACACUUUACUGAGGAUGCCUAUUGCACCAAUUUGUCCUUCUCUAUCAUAAAAGUUGAAGUGCUAGUUAUUAAAUUAUGCAACUAACAAAUGAAGGUGAAGCUCUAUCGUAUGAUGAGAAUCUCUAGAGAUAACAAAUUACCUGCACAUUAUGAUCCAUCCAAAAGGAGGGAUCCUCUUUAAGUUCAAAAUGUGGCACUUCAGGUGUAUUAACAACUAUUGGGGGCGCGGAAGAUAUAGGAAUCCCUUUUGAUGCCAUGGAGAAGCUCAUCAUCCGAUUACCCGCACCAAUUGGGGGUCGGGAGCCGCUGAAACCACUGUAUGUCGGCUUCGUUACGCUCUUGGUCGGCGUGCUCUGAGUGGAGCUGCAAUCCGAAUGGAUUGAAGACGCCUUCCCGGCCGUCCGAUACGUACGAGGUGUAUUUGUACCAUACACACGGCUCAGCGGGGGCAGCUGGUUGGGUCCUUGGUGACUAGGCUCAUCGCCAUUGUCAACACAAUUAGGCCCGAUCUCGCUCUUACCGGCCCAACCAAAGCGGUUUCUUGCAGCCGCUGACGGCUUUUCUGGUGUACGGAAGGUCGAAUGCGCAUCCGAACCCUUGAUCUGGUUCUUAGAAGGGGUUGUUGCAUCCCCUUUCCUGCGAAAAACCGUGCCUUGAUCCGAACCCAGCUUAGGGUUAGGGUUUUGCACUGGUUCCUGGAUUGUAUUCAACGGAGCCCUCGAGGGGUCCAAAUCCAGCACAGAACCGGAGGGCUCGGAGCUAUCGGCCGGAAUAUUCUCAUUAUUCCCCUCCGGUGGAGGAACAACCCCAUGAUUCCGACGGAAAAAUCUCAAAUCCCUCAACAUUCUGAAGCAAAAAGUCCCAAUAAAACGAACAAUAUUGAUCAAGAAUCAGUUCAAAUAGCUCGUAAAAUAAAAAAAAAAACCGCCAAAAUUACCUGAAAGAGGAAUUCGAGAACAGGAUCCCGAGCCCACGAAUCCUGAAUCCAAGGCUCCGAUUCGAUUUCUAGGGUUUAUAGGCGAGGGUAUUGGGUGGAUCUCAUCGGAUCUGGGGGAGGGGAGUAGAAAUCCUAUAAGAGAAGGGAUAGGAGAGGAGAGAGGAGAGAGGAGAAGGGUUUCUUUUGUGUCUCUCGCGCAAAUAAGGAAGUGUAAGCGAGAGGGGGUACUCGGAAUUUGAACUGGGUUGGAGGGGAAGAGGAGGAGGAGGAAAUGGACGGCUAUGAUUCGUCGAUGAUUUGAAAUUGAGGGUGCGGGGGAAUUGUCGUUUGAAUCUUGGGGGUAUUUUGGGGAAAACAUGGAAAUAUCAAAGAUGUAAGUAAAUAUGAUUCCGUUUUUAAAUGCGGAGGGGUGUGUGGUCCAACGGCUAGUUUGCAUUUGACUUCAUAUAGGCUUGGGAAAUAUGUUUGGGGAAUUUUUGGCAAACACCCGCUUUUUUUUUCUUUUUUUUUUUUUUGCAGAAAAUCGGAUAGAAAACAAAAUUAAUUUGACCAAUUUAGCCUGGGCCAGUUUUAUCUGGGUUGGGCUUAUUCGGCUCAGACUUCGGAUCCGAUCCAGGUCAAAGAAAACAUAGGUUUAAAAAAAUUCGAUUUGUGAUUCGAUAAAAAAAAAAAGAAAGAAAGUCUUUUAUUGAUCUUGUUGGGGAUUUUCUUACGCAAUUUGAUCCGAUCUAGUUUAGUCAUUUGGGAAUUAAAAUAACUAUGCAAGUUUUUUAACUCAAAUUGAAACAUGGUCACGUAAAAAUUGUUGCUCGCUUAGUAGCAAAUAAAUUUGUGGGGAAAUAUAAAGUACGUGGGUGGUCGUCAUAUUAAUUAGCAUGUCAAAAUUUAGGUUCGAUUAAAGCCAUGUUUUAUUUCUUGCGUAUCUAUAUUCAUUAAAUUCCAAUAAUCUCAUGCAUCAGUAUGACUGUAUACCGUGUUUCCAUCUAAAGAGUUAAUAUUUAAGAGAGAAAAAGAAAGUAAUUUCUUAAUUGAAAUAUGAGAUUAAAUAAAGAGACCCAUACAUAUAUAAUAAUAAUGUAAUUAAGACACACCCUCACAUAGCAUAUCCCAAAAGCAUGAUAAUUAAGACAUACUAUAUACAAAUAUAAUGUAAACAUGCUAUGCACUAGCAAAGUUUGUAGCCAACUCCAGAGACCAAACCAUAAUGUGCGACAUAUAUCAAACAUAAAAUGAGAAAUGCGGCCUUUAUUUAUGUCACAUAAGUUGGGCAACUCCCAUGCAUCAACUCCUCAUACUAGGAGUUGAAACAUAUUCGAGUAGUGACUAAUCAAACAACGUUCCUGAAAUGGUAAAUUUGGAUGUUCUCCACCUCCAGCUUCUUGAAGUUGCUAUCCUUCCUAGUCUUAAAGAACUCCCCCCAGUUGUACUCCCUGUAUUUCGCGGGAUUGCUCUCGUCGACCAGCUCUUCCAACGGCUUCACAUUGGUGUAACUCGCGGGGUUGAAGAAGAAAGGGAUGGAGAACCUAUCCUUCUCCGAGUUCACGGACACUCGAUGCUCGGCGCUCUCGUACCUAUCAUUGCUCCAAACCUAUCACAUUAUCAACAUCCAAAUGGUUAGUUAUUUAUUGACUCCUCACUAGAUAACAGAUAACAAGUAUGUGCUAUCACAGCGGAUUGAAUCAGGUCGAUGAGUCAGAUCGAGUCAAUUUAGAUCAGAAUAGUCGAGACUAUUCAGGUUUUAUAUAAAAAGUUCGUGUAGUUGGGUAUCUCUUAUUCUCUGAAGACAAGGAAUUAAAUGGUCAGGUAAAUCAUCUCCUUUCCUUUCCUUUCCUUUCCUUUCUAUCAAAUUUAACAAAUAGAAGGAUAAAUAAUUUUUCUCAGUGUAUAAUAUAUCAAACAAAACAAUCCAACAAGUUGCAUGGUUUGGGUCAUGUUCAGUUCAGGAUGACAUGUCACAGUGGCUUGUGCCAAAGGAAAUUUGAGCCAGGGACGGAUUGCCAAUCUCAAUCCUAGCUCCAAAUUUUGCAACAUAAUCCAACUAUUAGGAGCAAAUUGGAUUGCAUAGAUUCAGAUGAACACAAUCGGAGACGACCCUCCACAUGUUAGCUUAGCAUAGUUAGUACCUGAAUGAUAUCACCAACAUUGAUUAUGAAGGAGUUAGGAAUGGGCUUGACCCGGAUCCACUCGCCGUCAGACCUUCUUUUCACGUCGAGCCCACCGACCGCGUCUUGGUAGAGGAUGGUGAGGGCUCCGGCAUCCUUGUGGCGGCCGACGCCGAGGGCGAGGUCCGGGUACGGGCAGGGCGGGUAGUGGUUGAGCCGGAUGAAGCUAGUUUGAUCCGCGAAGAAGCCGUUUAGCCGCUUUUGCGGCAAGUUUAAGCUUAGUGCUAUGAGCUCCAGCAGCUUAAAGGCCAGUUUCUCCACUUCUUUGUUGUACUCCUCGAGCGCCUCUCUGUAUAAAAUGCGCCAUAAUUCAGAUAAAUUUUGUACAUACUAAAUGUUAGCGAAAUUUUCUUCUUCUUUUUUUAUUUCUUUUGUGAAUUACCUGAAUCCGAGAGGAUGCUGGGGCCACCUGUUCUUGAGCACCAGCGAUCCCCCGAACACCUUGGGGGUUUCCGCCGGCUCCGGCACGACGAAGUCGAACACCUCCUUCCAAUCCCUGACGUUCUUGGUGUGCUCCGACUCGUAGUAGCCCAGCGGGUUCGCCUCGCUCCUCCGCACGCGCCGCUUCUCCUCCGGCGCCGACGCGAAGAACGCCCGCUCCGCCGCCGCCGCGCGCUCCACCGCCUCGAUCGGCACCCCGUGGUUCACCACCUGGAAGAACCCCCACUCGCGGCACGCCGCCGCCACCUCCGCCACCACCGCCGCCGCCUCCGGCGAAGCUCCGGCGAGGUCGGAGGGGAUCGGAGAGCGGAGGAGCGGGGAGAGAUCGAUGACGGGGAUCCCCGAGGCGGCGGCGAUGCUCGAUUUGGGGCGGUGCUCGGGGGCCUGCACGAACGCCGGAUCCACCUCCACCAUUCUUGAAGCUUCUUCGAUCGCCCUCUUCUGCUUGUUCUUCGUCGAGAGAGAAGGAUGAUGAAUUAUUGAGGUGGGGGAGAGGGGUUAGGUGUUGAGGCGUAUUUGUAGUGGAAUUUCGGUGCAAUGAACUUGGACGCAUUCGCGGCAUUGGUUGGCUAACGUCGUCCGGUACGUCGUUGGUGGUUUAACUUUCGUUGUAACAUAUAUGUUGCAGCUGAUAAGGAUAGGGGGGCGAUUGUAUGGAAAUGAAUUAAUGACAUUGAUUUGAGCCAAUUUUGUGGGAUCAUUCAUUCAAAUUUAGUAAAAAUUUUAUAAAUCUAAAUAGUAAUUAUUCUUUCAACAGUAGCAAUUCCGCCCAUUUAUGCCGACGAGAGGGCAAAUUGUAAUUAGUAAAAAAUAAAUCUUACACUUUCUUAAAGAAAUUUUUGAGAAUCAGAAUCUUGGCAAUUUAUAUAUAUAUAUUUUUUCUCCCGAAAAAUAGUACUAAUUGAUCUAUUUUUGAUAGAUGUUAAUAUUUAUAACGUCCACAUUCUCUGAAUCUAUAUAUUAAUAUUAGAAUCAGCCUUAUUUAUAGUAGCCUCUAUUUUUUCCAAUUUUCAACAUCACCCAUGACGUAAAAUAAACUCUGAAGUGCUGCGCCACUGACUAUAUACACAAAAAUUUGUUAUAGAGAAAGCAUAACUCCUAUCCUACGAAUCUAAUUAAUUUAUUAAGAAUAUUCUGGAGAGCGUAAAAAAUUCAAUUUAGGACCACCUUCCGACAAUUUAGGCAAACUAUCGUACCAAAGAUGAUGACAUUCUAUUGAAGUAUUAUCAUUACCACGAAAUGAGUUCUCACCAAAUCCUAUCUAAAAUUGCGAACUUUAUUUAUACGAAAAUUCGUAUUAGAUUCUUCUGAUUCACAGAUAAGCACACGAGAGAGCGAAAUCUAAAAAGAAACUGAUUCAACAUGAAAAAGAAAAAAGAUGCAAAUUCGUUCAUAUUCGAGGAUUUGGUGUGUCCACGCGGGAAGGGGGGGGGGCGCUCACAUGCCUAUCUUGAACCUAGGCUAAAAACCGAUCGAAAGCUUAUGGAACUCCAAUUGAGCAUAUAUAAACAUACAUUCACAGAGGCAGUAAAGGUACACGACGACAGCGGCUCCGCACGCCAUUGAUCCUCUCCACCGUGUCUUAAGCAAAGAUGCGGCGGAAGGAUGUCUCCUCGUCUGGAUACAAAAGCUCUAUAAUGUUGCCUUCUCUGCAGGCUCUCUUGGAUAAGCAUCCUGCCGAUGUAAAGAGAAAAUGAUCAGCAUUCAUGUUGGUAGACAAAUUAAGGAGUCGAUCAUACUAUGGACGAGUCAAAACUGAUCCUGAAAACUAUAGAUCUCAACAUAUGAGCUGCAGAUGGUGUCCAGAACCACAAUUCCACAAAUAUUUAAGAGCAUGGUUUCGCCAAAACCAGCAUUUUCCGAUGGUAGCUAACCUACUAAGACAUUAAAUCAGUACCAGGGUGGCUUAAUCGCUUAAGCAUAUGGCGAUGUUCUUGUGAUCUUAGUUGGCAAAACAAAAGGAGCUAAAAUGGAAGGAAGAUAAUAGAACACAUGCCUUAUUGAUGCUACUAGCGCCUGGCGGUACGAGACUUGGGUCUGGACGAUUUCUGCAAUAUACCAAAUAGCGACGAGAUGUUAAGCAGGAAAAAGAAAGCACAAGGAACAUUUGAGGCUUGAUAACUUAAACAGCUUUUGCAGAAAACAGAAGCAAAAGUCUUUCGUUAAGAGUUAACUCAGGACAAAAAAAAGUACAGAUAAAACAUUGGGAUAAAAAUGAUGAUACUCACAGAUGCACCACCAAAGCUAGUCCCAGAACCAACUGCAACACCUAAAAUUAGAUGAAAUGAUGAGAAUUCAGGAGGCAGUUAAGAUAGACAACUUUCAGUCAAAAGUGCUUACCAAAGGAAAAAGAUGAAGUAGGAAAAUUUUCCAGUAAUCACAUUUGGUACACUUAGUUUCAGAGAAAGAGCUCAUGAUAUGAUUUUCAACAAUUCAAGCUAUUUUUGGCAAUCACAUCCAAAGCAAAAGUUCGCUCUUCAACUUCUAUGAGCUGAACAGAAGGACAACUUAAAUUGGCCGUAGCUAAAUAUCUUAAAGUGCUCUCCUUAAAUAAGUAAUCAGUUACUGUGCAUUUGGUUUGAGAAAAGCGCGAUUUCAGAUUGUCGACGUCAGGCUCCAAAAGCUUGAAAGGAGCAAAGUACGAUCUCCAACUUAAGAGGCUGAAAUAUAGUGAGACAACACUUGAGCACUUCCUAAGAUUGCAACAACCAAAAACACCCUUACUGUCCUUCUCUUGUUAUAAUUUAAUCUAUAGAAAGCUCUCACUCCUUUCUUUUUCCAUUUUUCGUCCAUUUCUAUGGUAGCUGAGAUGGUUUGAACAACUCUUCAAGCAUUAACUAACAUGAUCCUCCCAUUCAAAUGAAUUACGUGCAAAACCAAUGAAAUUGGAGAUGUUAAUGAAUUAGCAUACCUGCACCGAGUGAUGGUGUGGAGAAGAGUGAAGAGCCCCCUGCGGCAGGGGUCAAUGCAAAGGAUGGCGCACUAGCUCCAAAACCCGAUGGAGUGGAUCCAAAUGGUGUCGAUUGAGGUGAAAAUCCAGAAGAGGCAAAGAGUGUCGAAGAUGGGGCGGAAGCAGUUGGAGUCGAAAAGAGAAAGCUCGAAGAUGGAGCAGAAGAAGCUGGAGUGUUAAAAGUUGAAAACCCACUUCCCAAAGAUGCUGCAGAAGGGGCGGGAGAUGGCUGGAGUGCACUUGAUGAGGAGGUUGAUGUGUUCGAAGUGAUCCAAGCUGCUGAUUGGGGUGCUGGUGGCUGCGGAGAAGCUGUGGGUAAGUGAAGGGUUGGAUGAACUCUUCGUGCAGCAACUUCUUGCUUAGCUUGUUCCCUUCUACUGGCCUCAAUAAACGGGUCAUUCCCCUCGCCCCUACGGCGCUGGUUUGCAAGGUAUGCAGCCUUCAUAGAUUCAAUGUACUGGUGAAGGCUCUCUACCUGGGGUAAAAUCAAUUUUGAGACAAAAAAUUUGUGUCAUGUGAUAAAUCAUCAUACCAACCACGCAAUUUAUCAUGCUAAUGUCAUCACGCUGCAAUAAAAGUCAAGCAUAGAAACUCCUCUAGAAUACAAGUGAUGAAAUAAAGGGUAAAAUAGUUGGCAGGAUAUCAGGAAAAAGAAUGAAUGAAAAGGAGAAUAGACGAAGAAAGAUUGACAAAAGCCAUAGUACAGCAACGGUUACGCUGGUUAAAUACUUCUACAUAGAAACAUAAUUACGUGUCAUUUUGGUCUGGCUUCAGGAAAACUUCUACCCCGAAAAACAGCAACUUGGCAUUUGACAAAUAAAUGUCCUAAGCUUUUGCGAUUGAAGAAGCCGAAAUGAACUUCUGCAUCUCAAAAACAAAAGCCCAGUUUUGAGCUUCUGCUUAAGUUGCAACAUGAGGCUAUUGGGGGGAGUUCAACAAAAACUCCAAACAAGCCAGACAGGCCCUUUGGAGGACUUCUGUUUGCAUCAUCUGAUGCGCAUCUACAAGCACAAGAUUCAUGUAUGGAAGAUUUGCGAUUAGCAAUAUGGUGAAAAGUAAUGUUGCCACACCUUGGAUGCAACAUAGAUGAAAUAAUCAUGCAAAUUCGACAUAACUUUUGGCAAAGCUUCUAAAGAGUUUGCAGAUUUUCUAUUAACGUCCAUCUGAACAAGCUGCUCUAAUUCUUCAAUCCACUUGCAACACUCUCCGAGGUACUUCUCGAACCUGGCAACUGUAUGCUGCAUGAAGGGAGAUGGCCUUUUGGGUACCCCACUAUAGAAAUCAUAAGUGGGCCCCACGGCCAUUUGCUGAUUGGUUUGACCAGAAGUAUUUGUUCCAAUUGGAUUAGUUGCAGAGCCAGCAGCUGCAGGAGUAGCAACAUAUGGACGAAUAAAUCUAGGUCUCAGCAUCAUGUAUGAACGAAUGGCGAAUUCCGUUUUCCACAUCAAAUCAUUAACAACAUUCAUAAGUUCUUGAAUUGAAGCUCUCUCCCUUUCCAUUGCAGUGGUGAUUCCGCCAAGUUCCUAAAUGUGGCAUACAUAUUCUAUAUAUCAUCAGUUCAACACAAUAAAGUAAAAAGAAGUUUGAUGAUGACUAAGGUAAGAUGAUGGCUGGUUUCACAAACUGCACAAGUUCUUUUCACAAAAAAAUAGAAGAAUAACAGAUGAAUGCUGAAGGAGUACGAAAUGCAUAGUUUCUCAUAUAAAGAGGGCUAUGUUCAAAAGUGAAAUAUCCAACAAAGAGAAGGAGAAGGAUAAGCAGCGCAAGGAAAGCAAUAUAUCCUAUCAGCACAAAAGUUUUUUUUUUAAAGAAAAAAUGUGCCACCCUAAAGAGACAAUCACUACUGCUUGCAUUACUUGCCACUGUACGUUGGCAGGAACACACUCAUGACAGUAUAAGACACUAAUAAGGCACUUAAUGCUUUUAUUGAACUUACUAAUUAACUAUACCUACCAAAUCAUAGAUUUAAUACAGAAGUGUGUGUGAAAUCAUCUGGUAGUGAUAAACAUGCCUUUAACAGACUCACAUCACCACAUAUUGCUCCAGCAUGUGGUCGAUACCAUCCAUCAACAUUGGGUUUGAAAUAGCUAUAUUGAUGAUUUGACUCCAUAUUCAAACCGCCAGAGAAAGAAGUACUUAAAAAAUGUACUAACAUUUUAUCAGCUCUAUCAUGGCAACAUUGCUAUUGAUCUUUCCUGUAUUGUCUCACAGUUACCACUGCUAUUAAAAGUAACAAAUCCGUUUACCGUCGUAUUUCAUAACAAAAGCAACUUUGCAGAAGGGUACCAACAACAGAAAAGUGGAAAAAGAAGGAUCAAAAGAACAAAACCUGAAAAGAAGCACAAUACAAGAAAUCAGAAAGAGAAUUGACAUAGAAAUAGUCAUAGACAUACCUGAACAAUUCGACCAGCAUCGUGCUCAAAACUGUCAUUAUAGACCGAAGAAUCAUAAAGGCGGCUACACUGAUCCAAUCUCUCGCUUUCAUCCCUGUAUUCCCGUAUUCUCUCUCUACAAUUUCAGGUUUUAUACUCAGCUAUCAGCAUUUCAUGGUUUGAACAUGGAUAAGCCCACAACAGUUUGUAAUUUGAAUUAUCCACUAACUAGCUAUAAAGAAGCAUAGAUUGGAGGAAACAACUAUGUGAGCAUUUAAAUCACAACAAUCCCAUAAGUGCUGUUAUCUUUGACGGUUCGUUAUACCCAGAAGAUCCCAAUGCAUAAAAAAAUAAGAAUAAAGAAGAAAAUAACAAGGCCUUCCAUUUUCAACAUAGCAGUUAGGAGAUAACAAAGAAAACAAAAGGAAAGAAAAUGAACUACCAACCAAUGUAAUGAUUCAAGAAGCAUAAAAAUCAAAACUUUCUGAUAGAACAAACAAAAGUAAAGUACACAAUGGAAAACUAGUUCUGUAAAAGUACCGAGAACACUAAUUUAAGGUGAAAAUUCCAAAAAUAACGCUCAAUUGGAAACAACGCGGUAUGAUACACUCAGGCCAAUAUUCACAAGCACCAACUUUCAAUAAGAACCCAAAACAGAAGAAUGGCAAAGAACUCAUCUUUAAAGCAAAGCCCAUAAACCCAGAACAGAAUAAUAGCAAAGAACUCAUCUUUUAAGCAAAACCCAUUGACCCCAUACAGAAAAAUGGCCAAAAAAAAGGCUUAUUUUUAAAGCAAAACACUAAACCUAACUUCAAGGGAACACCAAAUGAAGGUGAUCAGGAUCAAAAUCAAAAGAACUACGUACUCAAUCUGAAGGAGAACCUUCUGGGAGUCGGGGUGGAGAUCCUCCCACUUCGUGUUGUACCCCGCGGGCGCCCGAUCGUUCGUGUAGAGAAGCAAUUGCUGCUGCGGCUGCUGCUGCUGCUGCUGCUGCGGCUGGAACUGGAACUGCGUUUGCGGCUGCGGCUGCGGCUGCGGCUGCGGCUGGAACUGGAACUGCGGCUGUGGCUGCGGCUGGAACUGGAACUGCGUUUGCGGCUGCGUUUGGCCAAAGGAAGGGAACGGCGACCCCAGUUGCGGGCUCUGGAACGCGGCCAUCUCCGACGAAGGGGGCGCCCGCGCGGCUAUAGGUUCAAUUUUGCGUCUGGGAAAUCCGCGUUGGUCCUGCGUUUGCGUUCGCUUUCGCGUUUGCGUUCGCGUCUCGGGCUGGGGUUGGGGUCGUAAUUCCCCCGCUGUUAACGUGGACUCCUCCAUCGAGAAACCCUAAAAAGGUUCAAAAUCGAAGCUCGGGGGCGGGGAUCUGUGAAUAGACGGAAAUGCCCUCGGACAUUCGAGAAACUCUUCGAGGAGGACGGAGAGGGUGUUCGCGGAUCCGUGAGCAAUGUCGGGGGUGUUUUCGUCUUUCCGUUCUCAACGGCCGAGGAUGCGUCCAGGGAGUGGUUUUAAACUCGGGCCCACCACUCUUGGGCCUUUAAUUGGGCCGCAUAUGAGCCCAUUUAGUUUGGGCAAUAGGAGUUUGGGCCAAAAAUUAUAUAAGCCCAAUCCAACAAGGUGAGACCACUAACGUUUUAACCUUCCAAUUUUGUAAGGUAGGGGGACACUCAGAAUAUGGGCCAGAUCCAUCUCUUUACAAUGGAUUCCUAUUUAGAUAAAAUUCAUGAAAAUUUCAUUUGGUAUAUUUGUUUACAUAUUUUUUAAUUUAUUUACAAAUUUUGCAGUAGUUGAUAGAUAUAAAAAAAUAUGAUUAAACGUGGAAAAUGGUAUACCACAUUUGACCCUCUAAGUCAAUUUUUUUUAAAAAAAAAUCUCGUGGGUAAUAUAUAAUGUCUCACCAGAUCAAAUCACACUGUAUGGAUGGGGAGUUCACAUUCGAGAAAGUGAUUUAGGUGAUUGUUUUUGUUCAAGUUUUUUUUCGAUUUUUUUCUUUGUUAUGUAUGAACUUUUGAGCUUAAUUUUUAAUGGUUAGAUGUUUAGAUUUGAGGAUUGUUAAAAAUAUUUUUUCCUUUUCUCUCUUGUUUUUAUUUAUUUUUUUUCGGUUCAGGGAUUUUUUGGAUUUUAUUUUCUUGGUUUCCCUGCUUGUAACAGAGAGGAGAUUUGAAAAUCGAAUCUUCGCGUGCACCGGGUGCACAAGAUCACCCUUCUCAAGCAUCGCUCUAGGCCUCCAUCCAAUCACACAGUGAAAAGGUCGGAUCAACGGCUAGAUGAGCACGGUUCACGGAAUGACGUGGUGCACCACUUCCACCAAAAUACUACCAGAUGCGUCCUCUUCCUUCUUUUUCCUGCGUACCUGCCCAUGCUUUCCAUGCAUUACCUGCACCUUCCAUUUUGGUGCAUAAUAAUUCGUCCCACACGAAAACCCUAAAAACACAUUACCCUUUUGCUAGCAUGUGACUACAGUAUUAGAAAAUGGAAAGAAAAACAGAGCUUUGAGUGCAAAUACCAACUUCUUCAUAAACGUACAUCCAUUUAUAUUAAAGCUUUUUUUUUGUUCUUCUCCUACCUACCCUCAUAACACUCUCUCUCUCUCUCUCUCUCUCUCUCUCUCUCUCUCUCUCUCUCAGGGGUUUGAAGUGAAAACCAUUUGGUAUUAUGAGAUAUGUUUUGUAAUAUCACUUUCUCUCUCUCUCUUCUUUUCACCAUACUUAAUGUGCAUGGUUUCUUGCUCUAGAAGCAUAGCAAGCCUUUUGAAGUUGUGGACUUAAUUUGUUUUUCCUGUCCUUGAUUUCGUUUUUAUUUUUUUUAAGAUCCUUCUUAUUUUCUUACUAGGUGUGGUUUUAAUUCCAAAUGAAGAAGAUUUCAGAUAAGAGUUGUAAAGAGUGCGAAAAGUGGGAGGAACAUUUCUAUUGGAAUCAUUUGGAUGAGCACAAGAUGCAUUUUUUUAAGGUCAUGGUUGAGGAUUUCACAAAAUGCAUGGUAAGAAAACUCUCCUCAUAUAUAACCAUAAAUAAGAUGCAUUACUUUGUUACUUAGUAAUUAAUCAGAGUCAUUUGCAUCUCCUGUAUGGUUCCUAAAUCUAUAUCAUGUUCUUUCAAAUUUUGAAACUCCACAAAAAAUUCACAGCUAGGACCAUGAUCAUGAUCGGCUUUGAAAAGAAAUUGGAAUUUUUAGUAUAAUAUUCUUGUUUAUAUUUUCAGCAGUAAUAAUUAUUAUGAAAAGAAAAAUAUGUUGAGUUACUAGAUACUAAUUAGUACUACUGAAUUAUACUGGUGUUUACUUUACAAAUCUUAUUAGAGCAUGCCAAAGAAGUUUGUGGAUAAUUUCAAUGGGCAAAUAUCCAAUGUUGUUGAUCUAAAGACUCCUAGUGGCGACAUAUGGAAAAUUGGAGUGACCAAGUCUCAGGAUAACAUAAUUCUCCAAUCCGGCUGGACGGAGUUCAUCGCCGCUCAUCGGAUAGAGAAGAAUGAUCUUCUGUUUUUUACGUGCAACGGAAAUUCUUCCUUUGAAGUCGCAAUCUGCGACGACAGUGGUUGUGAGAAAGCCUCUCCUUUUUUCGCGAAGAAGGAUGCCCGCAAAACCGGAGAAGGGGACGGUGCAACUCCUGCGCAGACAAGAAAUGAAGGGAAUCGGCGCCGCAAGGUGAUCGAGCUCUGUUCUUCGGGCAGUUCCAGUGAGAAUGACGUCGCACCGAAGAUCUCUCGCAAGACAUUAUGUGCUAACAGCAAGACGGCAAAUCGAAUCGACUGUGAUGUCUCGAGCCAUGGUGGGGCAAUCUCAGGAACAAAUGAGAAGCACAAAGUCCCUUCAAAGAGGCCCAGGGGCAGGCCUAGUAUGUUCCUCUAAACUUUUAGAAAUAAAAUCAGUCUAAUUGUUCUGUGAUUUACGAGUAUUGUUAUCAGAAUUUAAUCUUAUGCUAGACUAUAUAUCUAUCAGAAUGUUAUGUUGCUAGGUGAAAAGCAUGCUAGGUUCAUAUAUCACAAUUUUGCAGUUUCAGUGACAGAUUUCAGAAAUGGCUGUAGUUAUCUUUUAGUGAUCAUAUUUGCCUGAAUUAUUCGAAAAAGGGCUCUGGCAUGCUACUGUGCAGUUGUGUAGAAAUUUUUGAGUCACAUUAAUGUUGAGUCAAUAAGAUCAUUUAGAUGCAUAUUAAUUUCUUGGUAAGAUUCAUACAUUGGAUCAGACACGUAUGAUUGCGAUUCUGCAACUCAAUUAUGAUGAACUUGAUAACUUGAUGAAAAAAGAAACGGUUCAGGAAAAUAUAUCGAGUCUUCGAAAUGGCUGUAGUUAUCUUUUAGUGAUCAUAUUUGCCUGAAUUAUUCGAAAAAGGGCUCUGACAUGCUACUGUGCAGUUGUGUAGAAAUUUUUGAGUCACAUUAAUGUUGAGUCAAUAAGAUCAUUUAGAUGCAUAUUAAUUUCUUGGUAAGAUUCAUAUAUUGGAUCAAACACGUAUAAUUGCGAAUCUGCAACUCAAUUACGAUGAACUUGAUAAACUUGAUGGAAAAAAAAUGGUUCAGGAAAAUAUAUUGAGUCUUCGAAAGGCGUCGAACAUGUUGUAAAGAGUGAGUCCCAAGAGUCGUGCAAGUGCAAGGAAGAGACGCCCGGCAGUGCUCCCUAUUACUCGUCUAGGAGUCUGCAGUUAACACCGUCGCAAGACAAAAAAGUGUCGAAGUUGGCCCUUGCCCUCCUCCCAAAUCCUUCUUUUGCAUCAGUCAUGUAUCCGAGCAACGCCGCCAUCAAGAACUGCUUUCUGGUAAGUCCAACAUUCCUAGCUAUUCUUUUUGGCAAUUGCUUCUGUACUGUUUCAUUAAUCUUCUACGAAAGAUAAAAUUGUAACAUUUAAAUGCCUAGUAAAGGUUGUAGGAUUCACAACCUGCUAUGUUCCAACCAUGUAUGCUAGUGAUUAUUAUAUAUGUGAUGUCUCAUACUAGAUUCUCUGUUUUUUUUUUCAAAAGAACAUUCCAAAGUGCUUUGCUAAGGCACACCUGCCGCGAAGAAGCGAGCGGAUCAUCCUCAAGAUUCCAAACAAGAGAGAGACGUGGACGUGUUCGUAUAUUUUCGCGACAAGAUUGCAAGGCAUCUACGGAGGUUGGAGCGAUUUCGUGCACGACAACAAUUUGCGCAAGGGAGAUACUUGCCUCUUCGAACAAAUGAAGGGCAUGAAAACGCUAACACUCACCGUUCACAUCAUCUGAAUGAUUUGGCUUCUUUCUGUUUUUUUUUCGGAGAAUGACUCUGCUAGUAUUAAUUAUGUGUCUUAAAACUUGAUUAAAGACAAGGACAUGGUUUAUGUGCAUGUUUGAUAUUUAAGUGGAUUCUCUCAGGCUUGUAGCAGCUGCUACUGUUUUGUUAUACGUAUGAAAAACAUAUUGUUGGUUUUAGUUGUGGUACAAUUAAGUAUGUGUAAUCAGUUUUACUUGUUAUAUACGGUUUGCAUAAUACGAUGUUAACUGUACGGAAUCCUGAAAUAUCGUACAAUGUUUAAAUUUUUAUGUUUGUUUUGUUAAGUAAUUCUAUGAUAUAAAUCAACAAAAAAAUAUUUCAUACUUUAUAUAUCUUUACACGAAAUUCAAAGACUCGAUCUCAAUCACUUACAGCUUCUUCAACGGAAAGAAAAACACAUGAAUGAGAAUAUAGGAGGUGACAAAACAAACUAUCUCACAUUCAUGUUCAUCUUAUCUUAUAAUUAAUAAAUGAAAAAAAAAGAAUUGCUAAACUUUUCAAAGAGCUAAAAUAAAUAAUAAACAUUUUCCCCAAACAGGCCAAGGGCCAAAAGGCCCAACACUCUCGAGUAACAUUGCCGUACGGGUCCGUACAGCUCUCCGCGAAUCUUCGCCAUUAAUUAGACCGUACGACUGCGCCCAUAUCUUUUUCUCUCUGCGGACGCCACGUGAUUUUUAUCUCACUUUUUUUAACCCCCAACUUUCCCUCGCACGCUCCUGGUGAAGUUGUUCCACUCUGGUUCUUUUUUUCUACUCUACUAAGGACAAAAACAGAAAAAAGGUACAAAGUGUAGAUGCAUUAAUUGUUGAGGUACCUGCUGGGAAUUUAAAAUUCGUAAAAAUACAUGUACAUUAACUUUUGUUGAUAAUAUUGUUGAAUAUAAAAUAUAAAUAUUUUCUUCUUUGUUAGCUUAAAGUGAGUGGGCAAAAAAAAAAAAAAAAAAAAAAAAAAAAAAGGUUGUUUCACCUAAUUUAACUAUUCAAAAAUUUUGAGUCCAAGCCUAAAAAGAAUGUUGAAAAUUUGACACCACAGUAUCUUUGCAUGGUAGUUUAAUCUACAAAAAAAAAUUAUUUUAUAUAAUUUAACAGAUUUUGUUAAAUUUAAUAUUUUAAUUUUUUAGCAAUAAAAUCUAGAUUGAUCAGCUACUGAUAACUGAUUUUUAUAAAAUAUAACAAUAGAAAAAUUUUUUAAAAAUGAAUUUAAGAUGUUUGUUAUCUAAUAUUCUGAUUUAUUUAAUGCAGCAUCAUUUUUUUAGAUAUUUACAUCAAUAGCUUUUUAAGUGAUAAUUUGAGAGAAAAUUUCUAUGAAUUGUAAUUGCAACAUUUCAUUCAUUUUGAUGAAUAGAUUUUUUUUUUUUAACUCGUAACAAAAGGUUGAAUUUUUAUUAAAGGUGAGGAAUGGUGCUUUAACAUGAUAAAAGAAAAAAGUUUAGGGACCAGCUCGCAAUAUUGGGGCAGUACAUGGUCCGUACGUUUUGCAGUUAAACUGCACUCUUUACUCCUCUUUCUCAGGAGAACAAAAAUGGUAACCAUUUCAGUGGUCCCCAAAAAGUUGGAUUGACACCAUGCAAAAUAAAAUAAAAAUGUACACAAUGGACUAUUUUAAUUUUAUUAUUUAUUUUUUAAAAAAUAAAAAUAUUGAAGUUAAAAUAUUAUUGAUUUAAGUAUUCAAACAAAAUGAAAGCUUGAACAAUAAAAUCUAAAAUUUGAAAUGUUUGGUAGUUGAUUAAAAAUAAUCUAUAAAUUUGUAUAUUUUAUCUUUCUUUUUUUUUAAAAAAAAAUCCUCCAUUUAUUCUCACUUACCAACCACCCGUUACUCCCCCCCUCUUUGCCACCCUAUAAAAAAGGGAAAAAGGAGAAGCUACAGAGUAGUCUCUCUCUUUGUGAUUUUUUACACAAUAGCUCUCUCUCUCUCUCUCUCUCUCUCUCUCUGAUUUUUUACACAACAAUGGCUUUUAACUACAAGAAUACCCAGUUAAGAUCAUGCUUUGCUUUGUUCAUACAGUGAUGUUUUAUUUUUUUUCUUGUUGUAAUAAAAUGUUUUAUAUAUCUAUACAUUAAUUACACUUGUUUUUUUUUUCUUAGGAGGGGGACUUCGAUGUUCCAGAUGUUUGAGGGCUUUGAGAGCUGCAGAGAAUGCAGGGAGUGGAAGGAGCAUUUCUACUGGAACCAUCUGGACAAGCAGAGGACACGUUUUUACACGCGUAUGGUUGGAGAUUUCACACAACGCAUGGUAAAAAUCCUCUGCUUAACCAACAUGCUUUUUAGAGAAGUCCUAGCUAGUUUUGUUAAUUAGCAUUUUGAGUGUUUCCUUUUAUAGCUUCUGAUUAUAUUUAUACAUGCCAUAGAGAUUUUUUAGUUUCAACUAUAACCCAACAAAAGUGUCGAAAAAAUGGCAAGCAAAACCAACUACAACUUUCUUAUUAUAGUUGAA
This 38249-nucleotide long non-coding RNA is filed under the name Ananas comosus (pineapple). RNAcentral describes it as "long non-coding RNA (ACOM_LNC011301)". Lineage: Eukaryota; Viridiplantae; Streptophyta; Magnoliopsida; Poales; Bromeliaceae. The record is from RNAcentral.